This 247-nucleotide unclassified non-coding RNA is filed under the name uncultured bacterium. RNAcentral describes it as "contains 16S-23S intergenic spacer region". The record is from RNAcentral.
UAUAAUGGGUUCAAAUUAAAAUCUUCGUAUGGAGGCCCGUCUGUUCCCGAUGAUAUUGCAGCUGUUGAGGAUCAUAUCCCUGAAAAACCCAUGAAGGAUAUUGUCUCCCUUAAGAGUAUGAUAGAAAAAGGACAUUUGAGUUAUGUGAAUCUUGAGGACAUGUACCUGGAUCAUGUCACGGCUUCUUUUGAUUUAAAUGCAAUCCGCAAUGCAGAUUUCGGGGUCGGAUAUGAUGCCAUGUAUGGUG